RNAcentral lists this ribosomal RNA (714 nucleotides) under uncultured Eubacteriales bacterium. RNAcentral describes it as "bacterial SSU rRNA". It matches the Rfam family "Bacterial small subunit ribosomal RNA", at positions 94 to 824 of the family's 1533-position model. The record is from RNAcentral. Lineage: Bacteria; Bacillati; Bacillota; Clostridia; Eubacteriales.
AGUGGCGCACGGGUGAGUAACACGUAGCUAAUCUACCCUCAAGCGGGGGAUAACGUUCCGAAAGGAAUGCUAAUACCGCAUAAGCUCACACAAAGUAGAGGCGUGUGAGAAAAGGCGAAAGCCACUUGAGGAUGAGGCUGCGGCCCAUCAGGUAGUUGGUAGGGUAACGGCCUACCAAGCCGACGACGGGUAGGGGACCUGAGAGGGUGAUCCCCCACACUGGGACUGAGACACGGCCCAGACUCCUACGGGAGGCAGCAGUGAGGAAUAUUGGUCAAUGGGCGAAAGCCUGAACCAGCGACGCCGCGUGGGUGAAGAAGGUCUUCGGAUCGUAAAGCCCUUUUCUGUGUGACGAGUAAGGACGGUAGCACAGGAAUAAGUCUCGGCUAACUACGUGCCAGCAGCCGUGGUAAAACGUAGGAGACAAGCGUUAUCCGGAGUUACUGGGCGUAAAGGGCGUGCAGGCGGUUGACUAAGUUCGUCGUGAAAUCGCCCGGCUUAACCGGGCGGGGUCGAUGAAUACUGGUGAACUAGAGGACGGUAGAGGCGUGUGGAAUUCCGGGUGUAGUGGUGAAAUGCGUAGAUAUCCGGAGGAACACCAGUGGCGAAAGCGACACGCUGGGCCGUACCUGACGCUAAGACGCGAAAGCAUGGGGAGCGAACGGGAUUAGAAACCCCGGUAGUCCAUGCCGUAAACGAUGCCAACUGGGUGUU